GGUUAAGUGACUAAGCGUACAUGGUGGAUGCCUUGGCAGUCAGAGGCGAUGAAGGACGUACUAACCUGCGAUAAGCUGUGAGAAGUCGGUAAGAGACGCUAUUACUCACAGAUUUCCGAAUGGGGAAACCCACCCAAGAUAACUUGGGUAUCGUUACAUGAAUACAUAGUGUAACGAGGCGAACCGGGAGAACUGAAACAUCUAAGUACCCCGAGGAAAAGAAAUCAACCGAGAUUCCCUCAGUAGCGGCGAGCGAACGGGGAUUAGCCCUUAAGUUUCUUGGAAGUUAGUGGAAUGGUCCU
RNAcentral lists this ribosomal RNA (302 nucleotides) under Aeromonas salmonicida. RNAcentral's name for it is "partial 23S ribosomal RNA". It matches the Rfam family "Bacterial large subunit ribosomal RNA", at positions 1 to 301 of the family's 2925-position model. Lineage: Bacteria; Pseudomonadati; Pseudomonadota; Gammaproteobacteria; Aeromonadales; Aeromonadaceae. The record is from RNAcentral.